GACUGAAGAAGGUUUUCGGAUCGUAAAACUCUGUUGUUAGAGAAGAACAAGGAUGAGAGUAACUGUUCAUCCCUUGACGGUAUCUAACCAGAAAGCCACGGCUAACUACGUGCCAGCAGCCGCGGUAAUACGUAGGUGGCAAGCGUUGUCCGGAUUUAUUGGGCGUAAAGCGAUGCGCAGGCGGUUUCUUAAGUCUGAUGUGAAAGCCCCCGGCUCAACCGGGGAGGGUCAUUGGAAACUGGGAGACUUGAGUGCAGAAGAGGAGAGUGGAAUUCCAUGUGUAGCGGUGAAAUGCGUAGAUAUAUGGAGGAACACCAGUGGCGAAGGCGGCUCUCUGGUCUGUAACUGACGCUGAGGCUCGAAAGCGUGGGGAGCAAACAGGAUUAGAUACCCUGGUAGUCCACGCCGUAAACGAUGAGUGCUAAGUGUUGGAGGGUUUCCGCCCUUCAGUGCUGCAGCUAACGCAUUAAGCACUCCGCCUGGGGAGUACGACCGCAAGGUUGAAACUCAAAGGAAUUGACGGGGGCCCGCACAAGCGG
Molecule: ribosomal RNA, 539 nt
Filed under: Enterococcus hirae
Lineage: Bacteria; Bacillati; Bacillota; Bacilli; Lactobacillales; Enterococcaceae
Description: bacterial SSU rRNA
Rfam family: Bacterial small subunit ribosomal RNA
Source: RNAcentral